Molecule: transfer RNA, 91 nt
Filed under: Actinomadura rubteroloni
Lineage: Bacteria; Bacillati; Actinomycetota; Actinomycetes; Streptosporangiales; Thermomonosporaceae
Description: Actinomadura sp. RB29 tRNA-Ala
Source: RNAcentral
GGCUCCCUGCGGUGGCUCCCGCUGUCCGCUCGCGUCGGACAGGGCAGCCCCCCAGGGGGAGAAAAGGGAGGUUCGAUCCCCCCGGGGGGCU